Pteropus alecto (black flying fox) is the source of this 77-nucleotide non-coding RNA. Lineage: Eukaryota; Metazoa; Chordata; Mammalia; Chiroptera; Pteropodidae. The record is from Rfam.
GGUCAGUGAUGAAAAGAGCCAAAUGUGAGCAUCAGACCUUCUGGUCUACCUGAUGCAUGAUCUCUGCAGUUCUGAGA